Molecule: ribosomal RNA, 1440 nt
Filed under: uncultured bacterium
Lineage: Bacteria
Description: 16S ribosomal RNA
Rfam family: Bacterial small subunit ribosomal RNA
Source: RNAcentral
AGGGUUUGAUCCUGGCUCAGAACGAACGCUGGCGGCAGGCUUAAUACAUGCAAGUCGAGCGGUCUCUUUCGGGAGACAGCGGCGGACGGGUUAGUAACGCGUGGGAACGUGCCCUUUAGUACGGAAUAGCCAUUGGAAACGAUGAUUAAUACCGUAUACGCCCUAUGGGGGAAAGAUUUAUCGCUAAAGGAUCGGCCCGCGUUAGAUUAGGUUGUUGGUGGGGUAAUGGCCUACCAAGCCUACGAUCUAUAGCUGGUUUGAGAGGAUGAUCAGCAACACUGGGACUGAGACACGGCCCAGACUUCUACGGGAGGCAGCAGUGGGGAAUCUUGCACAAUGGAGGAAACUCUGAUGCAGCGAUGCCGCGUGAGUGAAGAAGGCCUUUGGGUUGUAAAGCUCUUUCGUCGGGGAAGAAAAUGACUGUACCCGAAUAAGAAGGUCCGGCUAACUUCGUGCCAGCAGCCGCGGUAAUACGAAGGGACCUAGCGUAGUUCGGAAUUACUGGGCUUAAAGAGUUCGUAGGUGGUUGAAAAAGUUGGUGGUGAAAUCCCAGAGCUUAACUCUGGAACUGCCAUCAAAACUUUUCAGCUAGAGUAUGAUAGAGGAAAGCAGAAUUUCUAGUGUAGAGGUGAAAUUCGUAGAUAUUAGAAAGAAUACCAAUUGCGAAGGCAGCUUUCUGGAUCAUUACUGACACUGAGGAACGAAAGCAUGGGUAGCGAAGAGGAUUAGAUACCCUCGUAGUCCAUGCCGUAAACGAUGUGUGUUAGACGUUGGAAAUUUAUUUUCAGUGUCGCAGCGAAAGCGAUAAACACACCGCCUGGGGAGUACGACCGCAAGGUUAAAACUCAAAUGAAUUGACGGGGACCCGCACAAGUAGUGGAGCAUGUGGUUUAAUUCGAAGAUACGCGCAGAACCUUACCAACACUUGACAUGUUCGUCGCGACUUUAAGAGAUUAAAGUUUUCGGUUCGGCCGGACGAAACACAGGUGCUGCAUGGCUGUCGUCAGCUCGUGUCGUGAGAUGUUGGGUUAAGUCCCGCAACGAGCGCAACCCUCACUUUUAGUUGCCAUCAUUAAGUUGGGCACUCUGAAAGAACUGCCAGUGAUAAGCUGGAGGAAGGUGGGGAUGACGUCAAGUCCUCAUGGCCCUUACGUGUUGGGCUACACACGUGCUACAAUGGUAUCUACAACAGGAAGCAAGACUGCGAGGUCAAGCAAAUCCUUAAAAGAUACCUCAGUUCGGAUUGCACUCUGCAACUCGAGUGCAUGAAGCUGGAAUUACUAGUAAUCGUGGAUCAGCGUGCCACGGUGAAUGCGUUCCCGGGUCUUGUACACACCGCCCGUCACACCAUGGGAGUUGGUUCUACCUUAAGGCAAGGUUUAAAACCCUUGACCACGGUAUAGUCAGCGACUGGGGUGAAGUCGUAACAAGGUAGCCGUA